UGGGUCUCAUUGGGGUCUAAGCAUGACGCGGGAUUGUGGAUUUUUUGUAAGCGUGACACGUGAAAGUCAAAUUAUUGUGUCGUGAAAACGGGAAAUGAGGUCUUGCGGGACCCGGGAAAUGACAAAAAAAUGAGAAUUGCUUACGUAUAUAGUGUAAGCAGGAUACGGGAAUCUGACAAAACAGUAAGCGGCAUACGGGAAUCUGACAAAACAGUAAGCGGGAUACAGGAAUCUGACAAAACAGUAAGCGGGAUCCGGGAUCGGAACCCCCCAAUGAGAUCCC
Molecule: long non-coding RNA, 283 nt
Filed under: Mytilus galloprovincialis (Mediterranean mussel)
Lineage: Eukaryota; Metazoa; Mollusca; Bivalvia; Mytilida; Mytilidae
Source: RNAcentral